RNAcentral lists this ribosomal RNA (676 nucleotides) under uncultured bacterium. RNAcentral describes it as "bacterial SSU rRNA". It matches the Rfam family "Bacterial small subunit ribosomal RNA", at positions 64 to 753 of the family's 1533-position model. The record is from RNAcentral.
GAGGGGCAGCAUACUUAGCUUGCUAAGUUGAUGGCGACCGGCGCACGGGUGAGUAACACGUAUCCACCUGCCGAUGACUCGGGGAUAGCCUUUCGAAAGAAAGAUUAAUACCCGAUGGCUCCGCAUGGUUAAAGAAUUUCGGUCAUCGAUGGGGAUGCGUUCCAUUAGGUUGUUGGCGGGGUAACGGCCCACCAAGCCUUCGAUGGAUAGGGGUUCUGAGAGGAAGGUCCCCCACAUUGGAACUGAGACACGGUCCAAACUCUACGGGAGGCAGCAGUGAGGAAUAUUGGUCAAUGGACGAGAGUCUGAACCAGCCAAGUAGCGUGAAGGAUGACUGCCUAUGGGUUGUAAACUUCUUUUAUACGGGAAUAAGUGAGGCACGUGUGCCUUUUUGUAUGUACCGUAUGAAUAAGGAUCGGCUAACUCCGUGCCAGCAGCCGCGGUAAUACGGAGGAUCCGAGCGUUAUCCGGAUUUAUUGGGUUUAAAGGGAGCGUAGGCGGACGCUUAAGUCAGUUGUGAAAGUUUGCGGCUCAACCGUAAAAUUGCAGUUGAUACUGGGUGUCUUGAGUACAGUAGAGGCAGGCGGAAUUCGUGGUGUAGCGGUGAAAUGCUUAGAUAUCACGAAGAACUCCGAUUGCGAAGGCAGCCUGCUAAGCUGCAACUGACAUUGAGGCU